This is a long non-coding RNA of Anguilla rostrata (American eel), 2926 nucleotides long. RefSeq lists it as uncharacterized. The transcript has 2 exons. The record is from RefSeq and is a predicted model, not a curated record. NCBI's taxonomy places the organism in Eukaryota, Metazoa, Chordata, Actinopteri, Anguilliformes, Anguillidae.
UAUUGAUAACUGUCAAAACAACAACACUCUCUUUUACUUGUAAUAACACAUUUAUUGUGUGGUCAUCAAGGCAUCAUUACCACAGUUACAAAUGCUACCUCGCAAAUUUAUCUGUAAAAAUAAUUUCCUUCUACUACUGAUCUAGAAACCAAAGAUGAAGAUGUGCCAUUUUUUAUUUUGGUGCAAUUUCAGCUUUCUUGCUGCAGUUUGGAAAGUUUCAAACGUCAGAUUUCAAAACAUUAAAAAGUCUCUUCCUAUUUUUGAUUCAAUGAUUGCAAAAAUGUUUUCCUAUUUUCUUUCAUAAGCAGACACACACACGUACAAACACACACAUUCACACACACAUGCACACACACACACUUGGAGUGAAGUCUUUUAGCUGAUAAUGCUGCUCACAGACUUGAGAAAACAGCUCACUGACAGUUCAAAAUUCUUCAAUCAGCAAAGUUGAAGAAAUUUCAGAGACAGAGGAAGCACUCACGUUGACCAGGAGUGGGUACUCCCCUUAUCACAGCCGGAGAGCAUUUAUCAUUAACACCCACCAAGGAAAAGAAAAAUAGCCCUCAACCAAGACGCUGUGCAGAACAUUUCAUAUAACGUCACUGCCAUCUGUACGGGCUACGUGAAAGAUUUUGCCAUGAAUGAAUCAAAGGUGAAUGGUGUUGAUGAGCGCGUCGCUUACGUAGACAUUUUUGAAGACGUGAUUGCCUGGAUAAUUUUUUGUUUUGGGCUGCCAGCUAUCUGCUUGGCCAGUUAUGCCCUUUACCGUCUAAUCAAAGCUAACCAUGUUGCCCCCAUCUAUGUCAUCAACCUCCUCAUUUCAGAUCUUGUCCAGAUCAUCGUUCGUAUUUUUUUUAUGACGUACAGAUUUUUUGGUAUACAGUCCAAGGAAUAUAUUGUUACUUACAAUGUGUUGCUGGUUGUUGUCCGUUUUGGUCUCAUUGCCAGCCUUGGGUUCAUGGUGUGCAUCUCAUUGGAGAGGUAUCUGGUGGUCGUCCACCCUCUGUGGUAUCGCUACUAUCGCAAUAUUAAGCACUCAGUCCUGGCCUCUCUAGUUGUCUGGGUAUUGUCGGUAAUAUAUGCAGCCAUUGAUUACAACGUACUCAUGAAAGACCAUAUCACAUUCACCAUCGUCUUUUCAAUCCUUUUCCUACUCCCCAUGCCUUUUCUAGUGUUCCUGUAUGUAGGAACCCGGAGAGCUCUGGCUGGCACCGUCUCAGUAUCUGAUGCAGAAAAGAAGAGAAUUAUGGGAAUUCUGGCGCUGGUUCUUGGAAUCUACGUUCUGUUGUAUCUUCCCUUCACACUCAUGUCUUUUUAUCGGGCAGCUAUAAAAAAGAAGACAUUUACUGUGUACUGCCUGAUGGCCGUGACACGGAACAUUGUCCGUCUCAGCCCCCUUGUGGACCCCUUUCUGUAUAUUUUCAUGAGAAAAGAUGCCAAAGAUACAGUGGAGGCCUUCCCCUGCUGCCAAACUUUAAUUGCUUCAGGAAGAGGCUGGAGCAGAUCUAAGGGUACUACUUCGGAAACUAUCAGCGGUGUUUAAAAAUCACAGAAAUCUUAUGAGGUGUAACUGUAUUAUCGAAUUAAGUGGACCGAAGCUUGUUGGAAUUUGGACUGCAGAUAUUGGGAAGCAGACCUGGGUUAAAUAUGUAUUUGUUUCAGAUUAAAAUACUUUUCUGUGCUGGCUUGAACUUGCCUGGUGUAAUUGAGCCUGCCAAUAUGACCAGAAGGCAGGGUUUGCACUUUUUGAGAGCAUUUCAUUGGUUCCAAUACACCAGACAAGAUCAGUACAGCGUAGAAAAGUAUUUGAAUCCAAAACAAAUACGUAUUUGACCCAGGUCUGCUGGGAAGGCAUUCAGUAUCUUGCCUGCAGUCAUUUCAGGAAUCAAUCAAGGCUUUCAGGUUGACAUUUUACAUUGUAUUUUUCUUAUUAUUUUUUUAAGUAUUGAGAAAUGUUUCAUAUAUACAUUAUGAAAGCCAGUUCAUGUUCCUUUUGCUUUCAUGUGGCGUAUACAAGAUUUUAAAACAGUUUAUCAGGAUUUUACAAGAGCUUUGAUUUCAUUAGCAAAACCAUAAGUAAAAUAUUUGUGAUUUUAUUACAUGAUACUUUAUGUUACUUUAUAUGAUGAAUUUUAUAUAUAUAUAUAUAAUCUUUUUUUAUAUGUGUGUUAUUUUAUUUUUUUCUUUCACAUCAAAAAACAAGAAGAAAAUCAUCAGUUGCACUUAUGGAAAUGUGUGUCAUAAAAAUGGCAUAGAAAACAAUAGAACAGAACAUGAUACACUAUAACAUGAUCAGAACAGUGCUAUUUAUUUAUCAAAUAGAAAAUGAAAAUAUUAUGUAUAAAUUAUUAUUUUUAUUUUAAAUAAAUUAUAAAUGAAAAAAGAGAACCAUUGUUGUACCUAAGUCACAGUUUUUUUCCAGCUGCUGAACAGAAUUAGUUGUUUUCUUGGGAAUCUUUUUUUUUUAAAUGGAGCAUCGCGUAGUUCUGGCAGGCCACAAGAGUCUCCGGCUGAAUCAGCUGAUGGCUCAGGUGAGUGAUGUUCGCCUAUCACAGUACAUUCACUUAACAGGGCGGUCUACUUAAACAGCCUCCCUCUACUCAUUCAGCUGCUCCUCCUGCAUGCAAGCUGCGGCACGUUGCUUUGUAAAUCCUCUCCACCACCCCAGCUCCAUCCCUAUGUGUCAAGAAUUUGCAUUUCUCCAUUCCUAUGUGUUAAGAAUUUGCAUUGCUCCAUCCCUAUGUGUUAAGAACUUGCUUUGCUGCUGGAUCUGUUCUGUGUGUACCCCUCUAGGGGGGUUUGGCUGCUGGCCUCCCGGUCUUAUCCACGCGGGCUGCGAAGUUGGCGGGAGAGCUCCAGAACAGAGCCAUACUGCCAAACAUAAGUGUAUUGCCUUUAUUGUCAAUAAAGAUCUACUUUGAUGACA